This 462-nucleotide ribosomal RNA is filed under the name Triticum aestivum (bread wheat). RNAcentral's name for it is "partial small subunit ribosomal RNA". Lineage: Eukaryota; Viridiplantae; Streptophyta; Magnoliopsida; Poales; Poaceae. The record is from RNAcentral.
AUGUGGCAUCGGAGAGUGUGUAGAGCCCAUGAAUUGUGCCAAGUAAGCGCUUGCCGACGAGUAUUGUCCGUUCUCAGUGUGCUUCCAGAUGAUUUCAUCCUCGACGUGCUCCACAAGAUGAAAGCCAUUGAUGAGAGUCCAAAGGUUUAUGAAUUGUCUAAUGUGCUCGACGGUGAAGCUUAUCGUGAUCUUAAUCUUGGAGAUCCAUGCAUCAUUGAGGAGCGCAUCCUUGACUUUACAAUUUUUCCUCGAGGAUGCCUCGAAGAUAAGAGGCGCGAUUUCCUUAGGCUUCCGGUCUUGAACCCAUGGAGCUUCCCAAGAGGGGGUCCUCGCCCCAUUACCAACCGUGAUUGUUGUUCAUGCGUAGAAGAGGUUGAGGUCCAUCUCAUCGCAAGGAUUUCCCAUGCCGACCCACAUUCUCGUUGGUUCCUUCCACUCGAACCAAGGCCAUCUCAGUCUUAG